This 308-nucleotide long non-coding RNA is filed under the name Gossypium raimondii (Peruvian cotton). RNAcentral describes it as "long non-coding RNA (GRAI_LNC009945)". Lineage: Eukaryota; Viridiplantae; Streptophyta; Magnoliopsida; Malvales; Malvaceae. The record is from RNAcentral.
GGCGCAAAGGAUUUUAGAAACCCUAGGUGUUUCUGGAAUUUUCUUCAAAUCAGGCCAUAGUGUAUUGGGCUUGGGGUUUUGGGUAUUUUAGGCUAAAUUAGGUUUGGGUUAAUCUGUAUUGGGCCUAGAGUCUGUAAAUGGACAUUUAAAAUGGACUAUUUUCUAUUUUUUUAUAUUUUUUGUUUAUUUAUUUUUGAUGCGGGCCGGGCAAAUUUGGGUUAUUACAGCUGCCCCUCUUUGCUCGUUGUCGUGUAACGAGAACAAAGCAAAGACUAAAAAGCCCAAUUUUGCCCGGCCGUGUUUGGACC